AAUGGGCGCAGGCCUGAACCAGCCAUCCCGCGUGCAGGAUGACGGCCCUAUGGGUUGUGAACUGCUUUUAUACAGGAAGAAAAAUCUCUACGAGUAGGGACCUGCCGGUACUGUAUGAAUAAGCAUCGGCUAACUCCGUGCCAGCAGCCGCGGUAAUACGGAGGAUGCAAGCGUUAUCCGGAUUCAUUGGGUUUGAAGGGUGCGUAGGCGGCCAGUUAAGUCAGUGGUGAAAUCCUGUCGCUCAAGGAUAGAAUNGCCAUUGAUACUGAUUGGCUUGAGUCCAGUUGAGGUAAGCGGAAUGUGUAGUGUAGCGGUGAAAUGCUUAGAUAUUACACAGAACACCGAUUGCGAAGGCAGCUUACUAAACUGUCACUGACGCUGAUGCACGAAAGCGUGGGGAUCGAA
RNAcentral lists this ribosomal RNA (405 nucleotides) under uncultured bacterium. RNAcentral describes it as "bacterial SSU rRNA". It matches the Rfam family "Bacterial small subunit ribosomal RNA", at positions 370 to 772 of the family's 1533-position model. The record is from RNAcentral.